This 430-nucleotide ribosomal RNA is filed under the name uncultured bacterium. RNAcentral's name for it is "partial 16S ribosomal RNA". It matches the Rfam family "Bacterial small subunit ribosomal RNA", at positions 29 to 506 of the family's 1533-position model. The record is from RNAcentral.
AACGAACGCUGGCGGCAGGCUUAACACAUGCAAGUCGAACGCCCCGCAAGGGGAGUGGCAGCCGGGUGAGUAACGCGUGGGAACAUACCCUUUUCUACGGAAUAGCUCUGGGAAACUGGAAUUAAUACCGUAUACGCCCUACGGGGGAAAGAUUUAUCGGGGAAGGAUUGGCCCGCGUUGGAUUAGCUAGUUGGUGGGGUAAAGGCCUACCAAGGCGACGAUCCAUAGCUGGUCUGAGAGGAUGAUCAGCCACAUUGGGACUGAGACACGGCCCAAACUCCUACGGGAGGCAGCAGUGGGGAAUAUUGGACAAUGGGCGCAAGCCUGAGCCAGCCAUGCCGCGUGAGUGAUGAAGGCCUUAGGGUGGUAAAGCUCUUUCACCGAUGAAGAUAAUGACGGUAGUCGGAGAAGAAGCCCCGGCUAACUGCGU